AGUCGAGGGGUAGAGGAAGCUUGCUUCCUUGAGACCGGCGCACGGGUGCGUAACGCGUAUGCAAUCUACCUUGUACAGGGGGAUAGCCCAGAGAAAUUUGGAUUAAUACCCCAUAGUGUAAUUGAAUGGCAUCAUUUAAUUACUAAAGUUCCAACGGUACAAGAUGAGCAUGCGUCCUAUUAGCUAGUUGGUGUGGUAACGGCAUACCAAGGCUACGAUAGGUAGGGGUCCUGAGAGGGAGAUCCCCCACACUGGUACUGAGACACGGACCAGACUCCUACGGGAGGCAGCAGUGAGGAAUAUUGGACAAUGGGCGCAAGCCUGAUCCAGCCAUGCCGCGUGCAGGAAGAAGCAUCUAUGGUGUGUAAACUGCUUUUGUACGGGAAGAAACACUCCUACGUGUAGGAGCUUGACGGUACCGUAAGAAUAAGGAUCGGCUAACUCCGUGCCAGCAGCCGCGGUAAUACGAAGGAUCCAAGCGUUAUCCGGAAUCAUUGGGUUUAAAGGGUCCGUAGGCGGUUUAAUAAGUCAGUGGUGAAAGCCCAUCGCUUAACGAUGGAACGGCCAUUGAUACUGUUAGACUUGAAUUAUUGGGAAGUAACUAGAAUAUGUAGUGUAGCGGUGAAAUGCUUAGAUAUUACAUGGAAUACCAAUUGCGAAGGCAGGUUACUACCAAUACAUUGACGCUGAUGGACGAAAGCGUGGGGAGCGAACAGGAUUAGAUACCCUGGUAGUCCACGCCGUAAACGAUGGAUACUAGCUGUUCGGAGCAAUCUGAGUGGCUAAGCGAAAGUGAUAAGUAUCCCACCU
This 810-nucleotide ribosomal RNA is filed under the name uncultured bacterium. RNAcentral describes it as "bacterial SSU rRNA". It matches the Rfam family "Bacterial small subunit ribosomal RNA", at positions 60 to 874 of the family's 1533-position model. The record is from RNAcentral.